UACAGAGGUCUCAAGCGUUGUUCGGAUUCAUUGGGCGUAAAGGGCGCGUAGGCGGGCACGUAAGUCAGGGGUGAAAGCCCACGGCUCAACCGUGGAAGGGCCUUUGAUACUGCGUGUCUGGAGGGAGGUAGGGGCGUGCGGAACUUCCGGUGGAGCGGUGAAAUGCGUAGAUAUCGGAAGGAACACCGGUGGCGAAAGCGGCGCGCUGGACCUCUUCUGACGCUGAGGCGCGAAAGCCAGGGGAGCAAACGGG
RNAcentral lists this ribosomal RNA (253 nucleotides) under uncultured bacterium. RNAcentral describes it as "partial 16S ribosomal RNA". It matches the Rfam family "Bacterial small subunit ribosomal RNA", at positions 524 to 776 of the family's 1533-position model. The record is from RNAcentral.